AAUACCUAAUGCACAGUUACAACAGAAUUUCAGAUAAACAAUCAAUUAUUUAGUAUAAGUAUGCCCCAUGCAAUAUUUGGGAUAUACUUAAGCUAAAAAAAAAUUUUUUUUCACUCUUUAUCUGCAAGUUUAACUGGAUGUCCUUUAUUUU
This 151-nucleotide microRNA precursor is filed under the name Myotis lucifugus (little brown bat). RNAcentral describes it as "miRNA (ENSMLUG00000027032.1)". The stretch from base 47 to 98 matches the Rfam family "mir-1302 microRNA precursor family". Lineage: Eukaryota; Metazoa; Chordata; Mammalia; Chiroptera; Vespertilionidae. The record is from RNAcentral.